CAGUCGGACUCAGACUAACAUUCAAUACUCAAAUAGAUACGCUGUUAAAGGCUUACAGCGUCUUCAUGUGUGUGAGGGAUACCAUCCACUUCUAGCACGUAGCUCUACUAGCAUGUAUCUGUAUUAGCAUGUUGCGCUACUAGCAUGUAGCAGUACUAGCAUGUAGCACUAAUACCAUGUAGCACUACUAGCAUAUAGCAGUCCUAACAAGUAGCAGUACUAGCAUGUAGCCGAACUAGCAUGUAGCAGUACUAGCAUGUAGCAGGAUUAGCAUAUAGCAGUACCGACAUCGGGCUUAGCCCCCUGCUCUUUAGUGACCACAGGGGGUCAGAGUAGACCAGCUCCUCGUGAGGAUCCGAUCAUUUUGUGGAUCUGGUUUUCACUCACCUUUUGUCCAGCAGCUCCAUCCCGUCCUGCAGCUCCCUCACCACCAGGAGAUCCCUGAAAACACAAGACCGGUUAGAGUACAAACUAUCACCAUCAGUAGGUCUAGAGUAGAUCUUACCACUGGUAAGAGUAGAUCCUAACACAGUAGAUCAUUUCACUGGUGAGCAGUAUAUCCUAACAGUAGAUCCUAUCACAGUAGAUCCUUUCACUGUAGAUCCUAUCACUGGUAAGCAGUAGAUCCUAUCACAGUAGAUCCAGGACAGGUUUACCUCGCGUCCAGCCUCGCCGGAGGCUCCGGCCAGGCCAGAGGGGCCCAUGGGUCCAGGGGGUCCACGCUCACCGCCAGGGCCAGAAGAUCCCGCCUUUCCAACCUCUCCCUAGAAACACAGCCAGGGUCAGGAGGCUCCGCCAACAGUGAUGCUAACAGUGAUGCUAACAGUGAGGCUAGCGGUGAUGCUCAUACUGACGCUGAUAGUGAUGUUAGAGUGAUGCUCAUAGUGAUGCUUACAGUGAUGUUAGAGUGAUGCUCAUAGUGAUGCUUACAGUGAUAGUGUGUGGGUGGUUCUGUGCUGGCUGCGGGGUUCAGGUUCUGAGAGGUCCAGAGAGGGUAAGGAAAGGGUUCGGGGGUUACUUACGGAGGGUCCAGGGAGUCCGGGGAAUCCUCUCUCUCCUCUCUG
Molecule: long non-coding RNA, 1064 nt
Organism: Gadus macrocephalus (Pacific cod)
Lineage: Eukaryota; Metazoa; Chordata; Actinopteri; Gadiformes; Gadidae
Exons: 3
Source: RefSeq, a predicted model, not a curated record